UACGUAGGGGGCAAGCGUUGUCCGGAAUCAUUGGGCGUAAAGAGCGUGUAGGCGGCCAGAAAAGUCCGCUGUGAAAACUCGAGGCUCAACUUCGAGCUGUCGGUGGAAACUUUCUGGCUAGAGUCCGGAAGAGGAGAAUGGAAUUCCUGGUGUAGCGGUGAAAUGCGCAGAUAUCAGGAAGAACACCCGUGGCGAAGGCGGUUCUCUGGGACGGUACUGACGCUGAGACACGAAAAGCGUGGGGGAGCGAACAGG
Molecule: ribosomal RNA, 255 nt
Filed under: uncultured bacterium
Lineage: Bacteria
Description: partial 16S ribosomal RNA
Rfam family: Bacterial small subunit ribosomal RNA
Source: RNAcentral